RNAcentral lists this transfer RNA (65 nucleotides) under Calacanthia angulosa. RNAcentral describes it as "tRNA-Asn". Lineage: Eukaryota; Metazoa; Arthropoda; Insecta; Hemiptera; Saldidae. The record is from RNAcentral.
UUAAUUGAAGCCAAAAUAGAGGCAUUUCAUUGUUAAUGAAAUAAUUGAUUUAUAAUCCAAUUAAA